AUAACCCAAGUCUCCGUAUAAUCCAUUUUACCACGAUUUUUACUUUUCAAAAUGUCAAAAAACGUCCCUGUUUGUUUGGUUUUUUUUUGGGAAAAAGACCAUCGGCACAAAAUAGAAAAAAUCAAACCCUAUUUUAAUGAUAAUCUUUUUUAUUAGCCCAUUUGAAUACAAGAUACUUAUUUUAAGCCCAAAUACACAAAUCUUUAUUAAAAUAUAAUAAAAUGAUAUUUUAAAAGACUUUUUUACCCUUAACCUUUAUUUAAAGAGAAAAAAAGAAAAAGAAAAAGAAGAAGAGAAGACUUUCCCGGAAGCACACCGGACACCAGCGUCGGUCACUGGAUUCCUGUCGCCGAACACCGGUUGCCUGAUUCCCGUCACCGGACACUGGCCGCCGGAUUCUGGUCACCGGUCGCCGGAAAAUUGAUGGUGAUCGGAAAAUCGCCGAAGUCUCACUGGAUUUUUUUGUAAAAAAAAUGUCACAAGAACCCACUGGAUCUUGCCGGAAGCAUACCGGCAAAAAAUGAAGUUUACUACCCCUAGUAAACUUGCAAAACAGUAGCUCCAAUGCCAUAAUUCACAUUGAAAAAGAGAAAAAUCAACUUAGAUGCGAAAAAAUGAAGUUUACUACCCCUAGUAAACUUUUACUGGGGGUAGUUACUAGGGGUAGUAAACUUGCAAAACAGUAGCUCUAAUGCCAUAAUUCACAUUGAAAAUGAGAAAAAUCAACUUAGAUGCGAAAAAAAGGUUUACUACCCCUAGUAAACUUUUACUGGGGGUAGUAAACUUGCAAAACAGUAUUUUCAAGACCAUAAUACACACUAGUAAACUUUUACUGGGGGUAGUAAACUCUAAAUAAAGUUUCUCCAUGACAAUUAUACACCUUAAAACAAUGAAAAAUCAACUUAGAUGCAGAAAAAUAAAGUUUACUACCCCUAGUAAACUUCUUUUGGGGGUAGUAAACUUGCAAUACAGUUUUCCUAUGACCAUUAUAUACCUUAAAAGAGAGAAAAAAUCAACAUAUAUGCAAAAAAAUAAAGUUUACCACCCCUAGUAAACAUCUUACUGGGGGUAGUAAUCCUGCAAAAUAAUAUCUCCAAAGCUAUAAGUACACAUUAAAACGGAGAAAAAUCAACUUAGAUGCGAAAAAAUAAAAUUUACUACCCCUAGUAAACUUUUACUGGG
Molecule: long non-coding RNA, 1182 nt
Filed under: Fragaria vesca (wild strawberry)
Lineage: Eukaryota; Viridiplantae; Streptophyta; Magnoliopsida; Rosales; Rosaceae
Description: long non-coding RNA (FVES_LNC001939)
Source: RNAcentral